GCAAGGAUUCGCUUGCACGGCGAUGCCUGGGAACCGCGCACCCGCCCCGAGCGACCAGGGCCAGGCCUCCAGGCUGCUCUCCGGGCAGGGGAGCAGGCUGCAAGGGGGACGCACGGGCUCAGGAGAGCGGAGCGGUGACAUCCCCCAUGGGCGAGCAGAAGCCAGACAAAUGAGGCAGGAGAGACUUCACUUCACCCGUUGCAUGGGAGCAAGAAAGGAGGCACAUCUUUCGCAGGCAAUGGCUGCACAAGGCCUUCAGUCAAGCCCAGGUGAUUUGCUGGCACGGAGAGUCAGGACUGCUGGGAAAUGUGGGCAAGUCACUCCCUUGCCCUGUGCCUCAGUUUCCCCAUCCAGCAAAACAACACACCUCCCUCCCCAGAGGAUGACAGCAGGCAACGGAUCAUGGCAGAGGUGGUGGUGUGAGAUCGCCAUCCAUACGCUCCAGAGACGGAGCACAAGGCCUCACGAGUUCCUAGUACUGUUAUUUUCCCUGGAAAGGAUUGUGAAAAUUUGGGCUUCGGGGAAUUGGCUUGACUGGCUGCAUCUGUGACAGCCUGGAGGACAAUGAAGCCCUCUCUCAACUCCAGAAGGGCAGCACCUCUGGAGCCGAGAGCGCGCCGCGGCUCAUGGGACGUUCAAAGCAGGGCUCAGGGCAGUGGCCUGGAGCAAACCGGCGCUGGAGCCGGGGAGCGGGCAGGACCCACAACGUGCAGGGCUCCCCAGCACAGCAAGUUACGUGGGCCUGAAGUCAGGCAUCCGAGGGUGGCACCGAGCAGCUGCGUCCCAGCAGCCCACGACCGCUCGGGACAGGAAGGGAUGAGGCAUCCUGUAUUCCCUUGAAAGUGCCUCAGGGAAUAUUACCACGGCU
This is a long non-coding RNA of Alligator sinensis (Chinese alligator), 868 nucleotides long. RefSeq lists it as uncharacterized. The transcript has 3 exons. The record is from RefSeq and is a predicted model, not a curated record. Lineage: Eukaryota; Metazoa; Chordata; Crocodylia; Alligatoridae.